This is an RNA transcript of Musca domestica (house fly), 720 nucleotides long. RefSeq lists it as uncharacterized. Lineage: Eukaryota; Metazoa; Arthropoda; Insecta; Diptera; Muscidae. The record is from RefSeq and is a predicted model, not a curated record. The transcript has 4 exons.
UGCAUUAGCUCGCGAAACUACGCCAAUCGGAAACGGAGAAAUGUCGUGAAAUUCAAAAACUUAAAAUGGAAUUAUCCAAAGCUCAAUAUAACAUAACCAAGCUGGAAGAACAAAUACAAAGAGAUCAACAGCUACUCGACAUAAGAAGCGAUUUAAUCAACUCGCUGCAGACAAACGAAACCAGUCAACGGAUUCAGCUGGAGGAGUUUAUGGCCCAGAUGGGUGAAAAGAACAGCACCAUUAAUCAGCUCACAAAUGACUUGCGCGUCAAGACGGAGGAAUUUCAAAAUCUUUACACAAACAUCAAUGACAAACAAUUGGAACUCUCCAAUCAGGAACACAUGAUCAAACUUUUGGAAGAGAGCAACGAACGUUGUCAGCUGUUGAGGGUACAGCAGGAGGAGAAAAUCGGUCGACUCGAAGAGGAUAUUGCCCAUUUGAAGCAGACCAUAAAAAUUUAUGAGCAACAUUAUCAAAGUGCUUUUCUUACGCAAUACGAAAAUUGGACACGAUAACGGAAAACUUUUAUACAAAACGAUAUAUUUUUAAAGAAACAUAUUUUAUAACAGUUUAUGAAAAACCACGGAAACCACAGCCAUGCAUGUAAAUUCCAAUACCAAAUUAAAUUGUGAGUCGCCUUUGAGUGAAAACUAUGAAAAUUACAGUGAAAAUUUCCAUCACUACACCAGCCAGCGUAAGCGUAAACGUCGAAUUGCCAUC